ACUCUGUGCUUCUUAUUGUAACGACGUCGUUUGCUGUUAUUGUGGGGUUGUUGGUAUUGUCGUGGAAGAGAUCGUCGGAUCGGAGCAAAGAGCUGAAACCUGUGGUGAUUCCUAAGUCGCUUUCAGUGAAGGACGAGGAGGAUGAGGCUGAGCUUGCGGGUAGAAUUAAGGUUACUAUCUUUUAUGGGACUCAGACUGGAACAGCUGAGGGCUUUGCUAAGGUAUGAUCAUUUUCUUUUAAUAUGAUAAUGAGAUUGUUUGUUUCGUUUUUGGUCUGGCCUUUGAUUAUGGAUUGGUGUUUGGGGAUUUGGCUGGAUUGGUUAAAAGAGAACGAGAAUUGAUCUGCGUGGCUGUGGAUGAAGGUUUGUUUGGCAGUCAAAGUUAGGGGAUUAUUUUGGCUGAUGUGAAAUCCGAAUUUAGUAUUUGGUUAACAGCGGCUAAUAAGAACUGCCCGAUAUGGUCUGGAUUUUUAACUUAGUUUUUGGGUGAUAGAAUUUGGCGUUGAACUUUGAAACGAGUUAAUGAGCUGAAUCUAAUUUUAUGGGCAUUCUUUGACAAGCUUGGAAGUUGGAAGUGGUUUUGUCAAUUUCGAGAAAAAAGCAUUAAGAGCCACUUUCCGAUUGUAUGUUAAGAUCGAUGACUUCAAGCUACACCUUGGAACUUGACCUCUGGGAGAAAAUUGCGAUAAUAUUAACUUUUCAACAUUAUGGGUUUUGAUAGAUGAAAAACUAGUUAAAUGGAGGAUUUUAAUGUGCAUAUUAACUUUAUUAGCUUUUUGUUCUUUGUUCUUUGUUCUUUGUUCUUGUUGUGUCUAUUGAUUCCAUGGUAUUGGCAUCCUUGUAUGCAUGAUUAUGGUAUCAAUUUUGGUUGAAGGCCUCAAUCAUUGCUAAGGUGGGGUACAUAGGGGCUGAUAUGUGUAGCUUAAUUUUAUGAUUUCAAGAGACCCUGCAGCUAAGUUCCAUAAAAUUUGGAGUGGAGCCUUACAGAAAGUGAUGGCAUAGUGUAAAAAUUGCAUGUGCGUUGCUGGGGAUACAAGUACAACAGAUGAUUAACUCUUUGGAUAGAUGUAAUCUUCUGUUUGUCAUGUGUUGUGUUUUUGAUGUUCGGUGUUAUAAUUGGAGAGCAGCUGCAGAAUCGUGUAUUUAGCAUUGUCUUAGAGCACCCCUAUUUUGUAUUAUUUAAGCUUUUAAUUAUUGCUUUCCCUAAUUAUUAUUGCAGGCCUUAGCUGAGGAGAUCAAGGCAAGGUAUGAGAAAGCAGCUGUUAAAGUUGUUGACCUGGUAUGUUCAUGGGAUUGUUGAAUAAGAGUGUGAAGUUGAAUGAGAAAAUUGCUUCCUUGGAUUGUAGCUGUAGAAUUAUUAUUAUUAUGAUUAUUUUUCUGUAAUUUGGUUUGAAUUAGGAUGAUUAUGCUAUGGAUGAUGAUCAAUAUGAAGAAAAAUUGAAGAAGGAAACGCUGGCAUUGUUCAUGGUUGCCACGUAAGGCAACUCUUUUCAUUAAUGGGCCUUUUGCAUACAUAAAUCAUAUGAUUGUUCUUUUAGGAAAUGAUGCUUUUUUUGUGGUUGUGUUCAACAUUGCAGUUAUGGAGAUGGAGAGCCAACUGAUAAUGCUGCAAGAUUUUAUAAGUGGUUUACUGAGGUUGGUGAUUUUGUUAAGAUUCUAACACUGAAUAACAUUCCAAGACACAUUUUAUUGCCUUCUGUAUCUGGCAUUUUUUUUUCAUGCAUGAUGAUGGUGAUUUAAUUUCAGGAAAGUGAAAGGGGAGUUUGGCUUCAACAGCUCACUUAUGGUGUUUUUGGCUUGGGUAACCGUCAAUAUGAACAUUUUAACAAGGUAAAUAUAACAGGAUAUGUUGUUCUUUUCCUUCUUAUCAUUAUUUUAUAAUUUGAUGGAAUGUCUUUGCAAAACAGAUAGCAAAGGUGCUUGAUGAACAACUCAGUGAACAAGGUACAAAUAUUCAUAUUUCAUUCUCAUUUUUUACCCGGUGUUUUGUUCAUUUGCUUGUUUGUUUUCCCUUGAUGGUUAGUAGAGUUUGUGUUAUUGAGCCAUAUUAAAUCUUGUUAAUUGCCCAAAUGUAGCAAAUAUUUUUGUUAAAUGGUUUCAUCUUUUCUAAAUGUCCUUUUAAUUUUUGAAUCUAAGAGCCAUGCCUUGGCUUUGAAUCCAUCAAUGUACCAAGCGAGUAAUGAGGUGAAAAAGCUUUAAAAUUCUAGUCACUUUAGUUUUCAAAGCCAGAGAAAUUUAGAUUUAUGGAACUUGUAGGAUUUUAUAUGGGAAGAUUGUCAUAUAUACUGGUUUUAAAUGUUACAUCUUGAAAACAAAGAGAGUGCAGAAUAAAGUUGCAAAUUUUUGGUUCCAAAAAAAAAUAUCCCCCAAUAAAAAUAACCAAGGUCCUGAAUAUCAUUCAGCAUAGUUGCAUAAGUCAUAAACUCUGGUCUUACCAUGUUCAUAAAAGCAUCAGCUUCCCAAUAAUAAUCUCCAUCAAAUAAUUAAAUGAAUAUAGCAUGCAAAAUCUGGAAAAGGGAUAAAUAAUUAACUAAAUUCUUUUUCUCCAAGAUGGUUAUAUGAACUCUGGUCUUACCAUGUUAGCAUAUUGGUGUAUGAUUAUUAGACUAGGAGCAUAUAAAAUAUUUCCCUGAAACUUGUGUCUGAAAUUCUUUUUUCUUUUCUAUUGUGGGCACUUAAAAGAAGGGCAGGGGGAGGGAGGGUUUAAAUUUGGAAGCCUCGUCACCUUGUUGGCUUUGCUGUGUGGUAGAUGUUAAUAUCCAUUCUUGUAAUUUCACUUUUGCGAAGACAGUUGAUACGAAGUCAAUAUAAUGUUUUACUACUGUUCUUCUCUGCUUGUGAGUUUUUGCAACCACUUCCAUUUGUAGCUUAUAGUAUCAUACUUAUAGUGUAUUUCAUUCUUGUGCUCCUUUUGGAAGGUGAUUUAACUGUAUUCCACAUACAUAGACAUUCACAACUAGUUCUGCAUCUGGCAAUGGUUAGUGCUUGUUAUUAGGGGUGUGCAAUUGGUGGGUACCGAACCCAACCAACAUAACUGAAAACCAAAUUUUAUUUAUAAGUAAAAAUUGAAUCUAACUGAACAAUAUAUACAACCGAAUCGAACUGAACUGUAGUAAAUCGGUUUGAUUCAGUUUGAAAAUUCUGUUCCUUUCAAAUCUCAAACUUCAUAUGGUCAACCCUCAACUUAAAGUCAGAUUUCCCAGAAAAUUCCAACAAAAGUAAAAACUAUAUAAACAAAUUUUCAUUAACAAAAUACAUUAAUUCAAAAUCACAAGCUUUCAAAUGAGAUAAAAUUACAUAAAAUAAAAAAAAAUCAAGGGAAAAGAAUGGAGAAGUUGUGGCCAUAGUGCUUCUAUCUAAUGUCCUAUUGCUCUAAGGUGCUUCAACGAUGAGCGAGGGAGGCUGAGCAAUGCUGCUGCGGCCUUGACAAGCAAGCUGCCUCAGUUGCACGGCAAGCAAGGCUGAUGUUGAUGCUGCUUCCAGGGUGCCGCUUGUUGCCUUCCGCGAUUGACGUUCACUAGUGGAUGGAGAAGAUUAGAGUGGAAAUAUGGAUGGAGCAUUGAAAUGGGUAAGAAACAAAAGGAAGAGUUUGUGAGAGAGAUGGGGGAUGGGAAAGGGUAUAGGUGGCAGCAGCAAAAAAAGAAAGAAGAAAAUAGGGUUUUCUGAUUUAUGAAAUAAUAAAUUUAUAGCAACCCUUGAAUGGCUGAGAUUUAAGUAUAUUAAAUGGAUUGUCAUAUUUAAUUUUCAAAAAUUGGAAAACAAGAGACAGUGGUGUUUGCGAGUCUCGAGCCUUGUAUUCACAAAAACUAGUGAAAAGUUCCAACCACUAAGCUAAAUUGAGAAUUAUUAUAAGAAUCAUCUUCAAAAUAUUUUAUUGGGGUUCGGUUUGGUUUUUCUGAAAUCUAUUUUUCCAAAACCGAAAGGACCUAUUUAUUUCGAAAUUUUUAAAAAGCCGAAACAAAAUUUUAAAAUUAAUUGGUUCGAUCGCUUUAUUCGGUUUGAACCGAAUAGUGCUCACCCCUAUUUGUUAUCAUGUUUUUUUUUGUCGAGUUACUCAAUGGUUUGAAGUUAAAAUGAUAUUAUUCAUUUUAAUAUGAUAGAUACAUCUUUGUGGUUGAAAUAGGUGCAAAACGCCUCAUUCCUGUUGGACUUGGAGACGAUGAUCAAUGCAUUGAAGAUGAUUUUACUGCUUGGUAUACUAUGUAGUUAGAUUUGAACAUUCAUUAGUCUAUAGUCUUGCAAUAUAAAUUCAAGUCCAUGCCUUCUCCAUCCUUGAGAGUAUGAAGCUUUUACGAUUAUAUGUUGUAUCAACUGCACGUUGGUUUUCUCUAGGAGAGAAUUAUUAUGGCCUGAGUUAGACCAGUUACUCAGAGAUGAAGAUGAUGGGAAUGGUGGGUCUACUCCAUAUACAGCUGCAAUACCUGAAUACCGAGUGGUGAUUCAUGAUACCUCUGUUACAUAUUGUGAGGAUAAAUCGACAUACUUGGCAAAUGGGAAUACUUCAUUUGACAUUCACCACCCAUGCAGGUAUUUAUCGUUUGCGUUUGUCAUUUAUUACACUAAUUGUUUACUGAUAUAGAAAAGGACAAGCAUCAUUUUAAUACACAAAUUAGUGAUAUGUUAUUUUUCUUUCUCUAUAGGGUUAAUGUUUCUGUCCAAAAGGAGCUCCACAAAUCUGAGUCAGACCGCUCUUGCAUACAUCUGGAGUUUGAUCUAUCAGGGACUGGUAUUAUGUGAGUUUUUUUUUUCCAAAAGAUGGUACACAAAAAUUAAUCAGUGAACAGCUAGCAUGUUCUAUUUUCCACUUCAUGUAUUUUUGUGAUCCUUUUCAAUACAAUUAUUAAGAAACUACUUCCAACUUGAUACAAGAAGAAACAAUUUUAAUAUUCUACAACCUGCGUUCUCUGGCUUGAUGUGGAAUUAUUGAUACAUGAUUUAUUCUCAGCCUUUUUGUUUAUCUAUUGGAAUGCAUAGUUGACCUUAUAUUGAUCUUAAUGAUAUUUGCUUAUAACCAGUAUGCUUUAGCUCAGUUGUAUGGGUUCAUCUUUAGGGAUGCGCUAUCUUAGGUUUGAGUCCCAAUUGAAUCAAAAUGAACCACAAAAGGUUGCUUAUACUUUUUCUUUUCUAUUUAUUUGUUUUUUUAGAUAUGAAACUGGGGACCAUGUGGGUGUUUAUGCUGAAAAUAGUGAUGAAACUGUUGAAGCAGCAGGGAAGUUGUUAGGUCAACCCUUAGGUUUGCUAUUUUCUGUCCACACUGACAAGGAAGAUGGCACAUCACUUGGAAGCUCAUUGCCUCCUGCUUUCCCAGGGCCUUGCACCCUUCGAUCUGCUUUGGCACGUUAUGCAGAUCUGUUGAAUCCUCCUCGAAAGGUGAUAUUUGGCACAUUGCUAGUUAGUCUGUCUGCUAUCUCCUCCUCUCGGUGUGUUGAUAUUGUAACACUAAUUUAUUUACUGUAUUGUGUUGUCACUUGUCAGGCUUCUUUGAUUGCUUUGGCUGCUCAUGCCAGUGAACCCAGUGAGGCAGAAAGACUAAAAUUCCUUUCGUCACCGCAGGGGAAGGUCUCUGAAGCAUUUAUGUCCUUUUCUUAUUAUUUGCUCUUGUGAGUCAUCUUUGUCUGUUCUUGGCUUCUUGCUUAUGCUUGUCAUUCUUUUUUGUUAUCCAGGAUGAGUACUCCCAAUGGGUUGUUGCAAGUCAGAGAAGCCUUCUUGAGGUAAUGGCUGAGUUCCCAUCUGCAAGACCUCCACUGGGUGUAUUUUUUGCAGCAGUGGCUCCUCGCCUACAGCCUCGCUACUAUUCAAUCUCAUCCUCCCCAAGGUUAUUUACUGCUUGUAAUUGAGAAUUUUAAAAUGCAUUUUUGUCUAAUAAAGCAAAAUCCUAAUUCCCCAUCAUACCCUCUGCAGAUUUGCUUCCAAUAGAGUACAUGUCACAUGUGCUUUAGUUUAUGGUCCAACACCAUCCGGUAGAACUCACAAAGGGGUGUGCUCAACCUGGAUGAAGGUAGUGUAUCCUUAAAUAUAUUUUAUGCUACUGGACUCUUCUUUCCACACUUUUUGAUGUUAUUGCUUCAUGUGCACUACCCUAGUAACAUUUUUGCUUUUGUACUAACACCUGCUUCUAACGUGAAAAAAAAAAAAAUCAGAAUGCAAUUCCUCUGGAGAAAAGUAGUGCCUGUAGCUGGGCACCGAUUUUCAUUAGGACAUCUAAUUUCAAGUUACCAUCUGAUCCUUCAAUUCCAAUCAUCAUGGUGGGACCUGGUACCGGAUUGGCACCCUUUAGAGGAUUUCUACAGGUUUGGAAUCACUUCCUGAUUGUGGGUUCUAUUAUUUCUUAUCUGAAGAAGAAACUAAUAAUUGUUUCUUUCAGGAAAGAAUGGCCCUGAAAGAGGAAGGUGCUCAGCUUGGUCCUGCACUGCUUUUCUUUGGAUGUAGAAAUCGUCGAAUGGUUAGCAUCUUUUUCAUGCAUGACUCUUCGUUGGAUAAUUACCCAUACAUUGCAAUCCUAUGCUCAAUGAUCCAGUGGUGUUUCUUUACAGGAUUUCAUAUACGAGGAUGAGCUUAAUAAUUUUGUGGAGCAAGGUGUGAUUUCUGAGCUGAUUGUUGCAUUCUCUAGGGAGGGGCCACAAAAGGAGUAUGUUCAGCAUAAGAUGCUAGAAAAAGUAAGUACUUUCGUACUGCAAAUCAAUGUCCUUGACAAUCUGAAGACAUAAUUUAUAUUGUGUUAUUUAAUGCAACAGGCAGCACAAAUAUGGAGCAUAAUUUCUCAGGGAGGAUAUCUUUAUGUGUGUGGCGAUGCCAAGGGUAUGGCUAGAGAUGUUCAUCGGACUUUGCAUACGAUUGUUCAGGAGCAGGUAUUUCUUAUAGCCCAGUGCCUUUUAUUUUGCUCUCGUUUCCUUUUGUGCAUGCUUGCUAGAGUUUCCUGUUUUAGUAGAGUUGUUAAGUGGUCUCCAUGGGAAUUUCUGUUGUAUGAAAUGCGGCCACUCCAGUACUUGAAAUUAUCUUUGUUUGCUCCCAAUAUCACAUGCCUGUAAUUUUUGUAUUUCAGGGGAAUUUGGAUUCGUCAAAGACGGAGUCUAUGGUUAAGAAACUCCAGAUGGAUGGACGAUAUUUGAGAGAUGUUUGGUGACAGCUAUACUUCUCACAUUCAAUCUUAUGGUUGUUUGCAGUGACAUUGAAGCAUAGUAUAGCAUUGGGUUUAUUCAUCUACUUUCUCAAGCGUCUUGACCACUCAUAUAUCUUCCAUCCUGGAGUUGUAGCAACGAUGGAAGCUGAAACUUUAUUUCCUUUAAAAACUGAAAUUAUGUAGUCUUGAUGCCUUUUCAUCCUCUUGAACUUUUCUUUUACAAAUACAUCUCCAAAAUGGAAAAAUUCAAACAGGCAGAGCGGGUAGGAAGUAGCAAAGUGGCAAUAGUCGCUCACAGGUGGCUUGUAUGUUGAUGUAGUCAAAUAUGGUAGUGCAGAAUAAAUUGAAGAUUAAAAUUGUUCUUCAGAAUGUGUUUGUGGUGCACUUGUACCUUUGUUUUAUGAUGGGUCAGAAAUUUUCAAGAAUGUAUAGAUUUUGAAGUGAAAUUAUUAGAUGGAUUCGAUUCAGUAUAAAUCAAGAUCAUAAAAAUAAUGGGUUGUAUGUAAUUUUUUGAUGGAGUGAUCUAUUUAUUUGUGUUUUGGAUGUGAUGGAUUAAAUUCUAUUCGUAAACCUAUAUUUUUUAUCCCCGCAUAUUUUCAUUUUUAAUAUAAAAAAUAAGUUAAUUUCUAUUAAGUAUUUAUUUUAUUUUUAUUGCUCUUGAUGAAUUAGACAUGAUAUCUUAAAAAAAAUUAAGUAAAUGUUUUAUUAAAAUUGGGAAAUAUUGCAACCUCAUUGAAAUGUUGAUUAAAAUAUAUAAAAGAUUAUGUACUCUUGUUACAUUAAAAUAUAAUAUAUUUAAAUAUUAAUAAUAUUAAAACAUAAAUAAAUAAAUGUUAUUUGAUUGUAACUUAUUCAUAAUAAUGGCAAUUUAUUAUAGUAUUAAGAAGUUACUAAAUACUGUGUAACUCAAUCACAAUUUAAAGUAAUUGAAUAACUAGUUAAUAAAAUUAAAUAAUUUAUUUUAUAAAAAAAUCAUCCUUAUAUUUGUGGGUGUGGGAGUCUGUGUAAUGAUUAUGACAUUUUAAAACUUCUAAUUUCGUUUAAUUAAAUUAUUAAUUGCUUCAAAAAUAAUUCACUAAAAUAUGAUUCAAUUGGGAAUAGCCUUUUUUUUUAAACAACAAAUAUUUUUCUUUAAUCUUAUAACUCAUAUAUAAUAUUUGAUAAAGUACAUUAAAAAUUUGUCAUAAAUGAGAAAAAAAAAUGCAAAAUUAGUUCAUUAAAAAAAUAUGAUUCAAUCAUUAGCAAAUAUAAAUUUUUUAUUUCUCUUUUGAAACAGCAAAUAUUCUUCUUUAAUCUUAUAAUUGAUAUAUAAUAUUUUAUAAAUACAUUAAAAAGUUGUAAAAAAAUAUGAAAAAUGUGCAAAUAUUAAAUAAAAAAUAUUAUUACUUUAGAUAAAACAAUAAUAUAUUUGACAAAGUACAUUAAAAGUUUGUCAUAAAGGAGAAAAAAUCAUUAAAAAAAAUAUAUUAAAUAAAGAUAAACGAGUCACAAAAAUGUACAUUAAAUAAAGAAUAAUAUUACUUUUGAUAGAAAGAAGUUAUUUGACAAAGUACAUUGAAAAUUUGUGGUAGAAGAUUAAAAAAUAUAAAAAAAUGUAUAUUGAACCAUUAUUAAUAUUACUUUUAGUAAAAAAUAAUAUAAUGAUUUUCAAUUAAAACCACGAAUAUAAAUUGUUAAAAAAUACUACAACCUAAAAGUCUUAAAAGAAUCUAAAAAAUGGCUUUUCUAAAAAUAAUUUUUUUUUUGAAAUUUAAUUAUUGAAAAUCCUAUUUUCUUGUAGAUAUAUGUGCGUAUUUAAAUUAUAAUAUUAAAUUUAAUAUUACUUUAUACGUAUAAACGUUCGUAAGUACUUCUCAUAAAUGUUAUAUAUUAAUUAUAGGAUCGAUGAAUAAAAUUCUUACUGAUGCCAGUUACUGAACCAAUUUAAGAAAAAAAAAACAAUUUAAUUAAAAUUAAGAAAAUUUUAUCCAUUUAAUAUAUAUAAAAACUAUAAAUAAAAAAAUAUUGAAAGUCAUAAAAAUAAUUUUAAAAAUUUAUUAAUAUCAAAAUAGUUUUAUCAAAUGAAAAUAUUAGGCAUCUGAUUAAUAUUUACUUUAAUUAUUAAAUAUUUUAUAUAAUUUCAAAAGUUUAAAGAUUAUAUUUCUUAAAAAUAGUAAAAAAAUAAAUUAUAUUUAUAAAAAUAAAAUUAGAAAUAUAUACAAUAUUAACUUGUAUAUAUAUAAAAUUUUAAAAUAAACUAUAUUAAAUAAUGUUUGAAUGUAAUUAAAGUAAAAUAAAAUAAUAUAUAUUAUUAAUUGCAUUAAAAUAAAAUAAAUUAUAUAUUAAAAAAUCUUAUCUUAUUUUAUGUUACCUCUACCCAAAUAGGGUAUAAGAAUUUUAUUUCUUAGCCGUAUUUCUCCCAAGUUGUAGACAGCGGAUAAGUGGAAAAGGGUCCUUUUUCUCACCUCCCUUUGGCGCAGGUAAAGAGAGAGAGGGAGAGAGAGCAUUAAGCCAUUAAUAAUAUUUCAGAAUAAAAAAGGCGUACAAUGUCAAAACUUUUAGCUCGCGGCUGCCAUAGGGACACGAACUCCGCCACACUUCCAGGGCAGACGCCACAGAACUUAGCAUAAGCGAGCUCUUUUCCUCCCUUUCUAUUUAUUUAUUUAUUUCAAUAAAAAAAAUAAAACAACUGGUCAAGAUCUCAGUGGUCCCGUCUCCAUAUAUCAAACCUACUUCUCCUUGUCUCCACCGUCUCUCUCUUCUCCCACCCAACGCUCUCCGCUUACCCCCCCCCAUCUUUUAGGGCUCAUUCUCCAAAGCCACAAAGAAAAAAAAAAACUGAACCCAAACCAUAACCAAAACUGAAGCCGAGUAUUUCAAGGCUUUGGAUUUUUUUUUUUCAGUAUUGAAUUGUUUUUGGUUUGGAUUUGGAUUAUAGAUCGAGAUGAGUUCCAGUUCGGAUUUGGUAAGCUUCGUUGAGUCGUUGCUCGGAGUCUCGCUCGGUGGUUCUGUGUCUGACUCCGUGCUACUUAUGAUAACGACGUCGUUUGCUGUUAUUGUGGGGUUGUUGGUGUUAUCGUGGAAGAGAUCGUCGGAUCGGAGCAAAGAGCUGAAACCUGUAGUGAUUCCUAAGUCGCUUGCAGUGAAGGACGAGGAGGAUGAGGCUGAGGCUCUUGCCGGUAAAACUAAGGUUACUAUCUUUUAUGGGACUCAGAC
RNAcentral lists this long non-coding RNA (10314 nucleotides) under Manihot esculenta (cassava). RNAcentral describes it as "long non-coding RNA (MESC_LNC010624)". Lineage: Eukaryota; Viridiplantae; Streptophyta; Magnoliopsida; Malpighiales; Euphorbiaceae. The record is from RNAcentral.